RNAcentral lists this ribosomal RNA (2900 nucleotides) under Klebsiella pneumoniae. Its description in RNAcentral is "bacterial LSU rRNA". It matches the Rfam family "Bacterial large subunit ribosomal RNA". The record is from RNAcentral. Lineage: Bacteria; Pseudomonadati; Pseudomonadota; Gammaproteobacteria; Enterobacterales; Enterobacteriaceae.
UUAAGCGACUAAGCGUACACGGUGGAUGCCCUGGCAGUCAGAGGCGAUGAAGGACGUGCUAAUCUGCGAAAAGCGUCGGUAAGGUGAUAUGAACCGUUAUAACCGGCGAUGUCCGAAUGGGGAAACCCAGUGUGAUUCGUCACACUAUCGUUAACUGAAUACAUAGGUUAACGAGGCGAACCGGGGGAACUGAAACAUCUAAGUACCCCGAGGAAAAGAAAUCAACCGAGAUUCCCCCAGUAGCGGCGAGCGAACGGGGAGCAGCCCAGAGUCUGAAUCAGCUUGUGUGUUAGUGGAACGGUCUGGAAAGUCCGACGGUACAGGGUGAUAGUCCCGUACACCAAAAUGCACAGGUUGUGAACUCGAAGAGUAGGGCGGGACACGUGGUAUCCUGUCUGAAUAUGGGGGGACCAUCCUCCAAGGCUAAAUACUCCUGACUGACCGAUAGUGAACCAGUACCGUGAGGGAAAGGCGAAAAGAACCCCGGCGAGGGGAGUGAAAAAGAACCUGAAACCGUGUACGUACAAGCAGUGGGAGCACCUUCGGGUGUGACUGCGUACCUUUUGUAUAAUGGGUCAGCGACUUAUAUUCUGUAGCAAGGUUAACCGUAUAGGGGAGCCGCAGGGAAACCGAGUCUUAACUGGGCGUUAAGUUGCAGGGUAUAGACCCGAAACCCGGUGAUCUAGCCAUGGGCAGGUUGAAGGUUGGGUAACACUAACUGGAGGACCGAACCGACUAAUGUUGAAAAAUUAGCGGAUGACUUGUGGCUGGGGGUGAAAGGCCAAUCAAACCGGGAGAUAGCUGGUUCUCCCCGAAAGCUAUUUAGGUAGCGCCUCGUGAAUUCAUCUUCGGGGGUAGAGCACUGUUUCGGCUAGGGGGUCAUCCCGACUUACCAACCCGAUGCAAACUACGAAUACCGAAGAAUGUUAUCACGGGAGACACACGGCGGGUGCUAACGUCCGUCGUGAAGAGGGAAACAACCCAGACCGCCAGCUAAGGUCCCAAAGUCAUGGUUAAGUGGGAAACGAUGUGGGAAGGCACAGACAGCCAGGAUGUUGGCUUAGAAGCAGCCAUCAUUUAAAGAAAGCGUAAUAGCUCACUGGUCGAGUCGGCCUGCGCGGAAGAUGUAACGGGGCUAAACCAUGCACCGAAGCUGCGGCAGCGACACUAUGUGUUGUUGGGUAGGGGAGCGUUCUGUAAGCCUGCGAAGGUGACCUGUGAGGGUUGCUGGAGGUAUCAGAAGUGCGAAUGCUGACAUAAGUAACGAUAAAGCGGGUGAAAAGCCCGCUCGCCGGAAGACCAAGGGUUCCUGUCCAACGUUAAUCGGGGCAGGGUGAGUCGACCCCUAAGGCGAGGCCGAAAGGCGUAGUCGAUGGGAAACAGGUUAAUAUUCCUGUACUUGGUGUUACUGCGAAGGGGGGACGGAGAAGGCUAUGUUAGCCGGGCGACGGUUGUCCCGGUUUAAGCAUGUAGGCUGAUUAUCCAGGCAAAUCCGGAUAAUCAAGGCUGAGGUGUGAUGACGAGGCACUACGGUGCUGAAGUAACAAAUGCCCUGCUUCCAGGAAAAGCCUCUAAGCAUCAGGUAACAUCAAAUCGUACCCCAAACCGACACAGGUGGUCAGGUAGAGAAUACCAAGGCGCUUGAGAGAACUCGGGUGAAGGAACUAGGCAAAAUGGUGCCGUAACUUCGGGAGAAGGCACGCUGGUGUGUAGGUGAAGUCCCUGCGGAUGGAGCUGAGACCAGUCGAAGAUACCAGCUGGCUGCAACUGUUUAUUAAAAACACAGCACUGUGCAAACACGAAAGUGGACGUAUACGGUGUGACGCCUGCCCGGUGCCGGAAGGUUAAUUGAUGGGGUUAUCCGUAAGGAGAAGCUCUUGAUCGAAGCCCCGGUAAACGGCGGCCGUAACUAUAACGGUCCUAAGGUAGCGAAAUUCCUUGUCGGGUAAGUUCCGACCUGCACGAAUGGCGUAAUGAUGGCCAGGCUGUCUCCACCCGAGACUCAGUGAAAUUGAACUCGCUGUGAAGAUGCAGUGUACCCGCGGCAAGACGGAAAGACCCCGUGAACCUUUACUAUAGCUUGACACUGAACAUUGAGCCUUGAUGUGUAGGAUAGGUGGGAGGCUUUGAAGCGUGGACGCCAGUCUGCGUGGAGCCAACCUUGAAAUACCACCCUUUAAUGUUUGAUGUUCUAACGUUGGCCCCUGACCGGGGUUGCGGACAGUGUCUGGUGGGUAGUUUGACUGGGGCGGUCUCCUCCCAAAGCGUAACGGAGGAGCACGAAGGUUAGCUAAUCCUGGUCGGACAUCAGGAGGUUAGUGCAAUGGCAUAAGCUAGCUUGACUGCGAGCGUGACGGCGCGAGCAGGUGCGAAAGCAGGUCAUAGUGAUCCGGUGGUUCUGAAUGGAAGGGCCAUCGCUCAACGGAUAAAAGGUACUCCGGGGAUAACAGGCUGAUACCGCCCAAGAGUUCAUAUCGACGGCGGUGUUUGGCACCUCGAUGUCGGCUCAUCACAUCCUGGGGCUGAAGUAGGUCCCAAGGGUAUGGCUGUUCGCCAUUUAAAGUGGUACGCGAGCUGGGUUUAGAACGUCGUGAGACAGUUCGGUCCCUAUCUGCCGUGGGCGCUGGAGAAUUGAGGGGGGCUGCUCCUAGUACGAGAGGACCGGAGUGGACGCAUCACUGGUGUUCGGGUUGUCAUGCCAAUGGCACUGCCCGGUAGCUAAAUGCGGAAGAGAUAAGUGCUGAAAGCAUCUAAGCACGAAACUUGCCCCGAGAUGAGUUCUCCCUGAGACUUUAAGUCUCCUGAAGGAACGUUAAAGACGAUGACGUUGAUAGGCCGGGUGUGUAAGCGCAGCGAUGCGUUGAGCUAACCGGUACUAAUGAACCGUGAGGCUUAACCUU